AGUGAACGCUGGCGGUAGGCCUAACACAUGCAAGUCGAACGGCAGCACAGUAAGAGCUUGCUCUUACGGGUGGCGAGUGGCGGACGGGUGAGGAAUACAUCGGAAUCUACUUUUUCGUGGGGGAUAACGUAGGGAAACUUACGCUAAUACCGCAUACGACCUACGGGUGAAAGCAGGGGAUCUUCGGACCUUGCGCGAUUGAAUGAGCCGAUGUCGGAUUAGCUAGUUGGCGGGGUAAAGGCCCACCAAGGCGGCGAUCCGUAGCUGGUCUGAGAGGAGGAUAGGCCAGAUUAGAAGUGAGACGGGCUCCCGAGGACUACGGGAGGCAGCAGAGGGGAAUAUUGGACAAUGGGGGCAAGCCUGACCCAGCCAUACCGCGUGGGAGAAGAAAGCCUUCGGGUUGUGAAGCCCUCUUGUGGGGAAAAAAAAGCAGCAGGUUAAUACCCCGCUGUUCUGACGGUACCCAAAAAAUAAGCACCGGCUAACUUCGUG
Molecule: ribosomal RNA, 492 nt
Filed under: uncultured bacterium
Lineage: Bacteria
Description: partial 16S ribosomal RNA
Rfam family: Bacterial small subunit ribosomal RNA
Source: RNAcentral